GGGGGGGGGGGUGCUAAUACAUGCAAGUCGAGCGAACAGAGAAGGAGCUUGCUCCUUUGACGUUAGCGGCGGACGGGUGAGUAACACGUGGGCAACCUACCUUAUAGUUUGGGAUAACUCCGGGAAACCGGGGCUAAUACCGAAUAAUCUAUUUUACUUCAUGGUGAAAUACUGAAAGACGGUUUCGGCUGUCGCUAUAAGAUGGGCCCGCGGCGCAUUAGCUAGUUGGUGAGGUAACGGCUCACCAAGGCGACGAUGCGUAGCCGACCUGAGAGGGUGAUCGGCCACACUGGGACUGAGACACGGCCCAGACUCCUACGGGAGGCAGCAGUAGGGAAUCUUCCACAAUGGGCGAAAGCCUGAUGGAGCAACGCCGCGUGAGUGAAGAAGGUUUUCGGAUCGUAAAACUCUGUUGUAAGGGAAGAACAAGUACAGUAGUAACUGGCUGUACCUUGACGGUACCUUAUUAGAAAGCCACGGCUAACUACGUGCCAGCAGCCGCGGUAAUACGUAGGUGGCAAGCGUUGUCCGGAAUUAUUGGGCGUAAAGCGCGCGCAGGCGGUCCUUUAAGUCUGAUGUGAAAGCCCACGGCUCAACCGUGGAGGGUCAUUGGAAACUGGGGGACUUGAGUGCAGAAGAGGAAAGUGGAAUUCCAAGUGUAGCGGUGAA
RNAcentral lists this ribosomal RNA (669 nucleotides) under Lysinibacillus sphaericus. RNAcentral describes it as "bacterial SSU rRNA". It matches the Rfam family "Bacterial small subunit ribosomal RNA", at positions 35 to 685 of the family's 1533-position model. Lineage: Bacteria; Bacillati; Bacillota; Bacilli; Caryophanales; Bacillaceae. The record is from RNAcentral.